Molecule: ribosomal RNA, 450 nt
Filed under: uncultured bacterium
Lineage: Bacteria
Description: bacterial SSU rRNA
Rfam family: Bacterial small subunit ribosomal RNA
Source: RNAcentral
GGGCCCGCACAAGCGGUGGAUCAUGUGGUUUAAUUCGACGAUAAGCGGAAAACCUUACCCAGACUUGACAUUUAGCUGCAAAUCUCUGGAGACAGAGACUCCUUCGAGGGUGCUAAACAGGUGCUGCAUGGUUGUCGUCAGCUCGUGCCGUGAGGUGUAGCCUUAAGUGGUUUAACGAGCGCAACCCUCAUUCUAUGUUAAAUAUUCAUAGAAAACUGCCCUGCUCAACAGGGAGGAAGGUGAGGAUGACGUCAAAUCAGCAUGGCUCUUACGUCUGGGGCCACACACGUGAUACAAUGGUCGGUACAAAGGGUUGCUAAGUGGUAACACGGAGCUAAUCCCAUUAAAACCGAUCUCAGUUCGGAUUGAGGUCUGAAAUUCGACCUCAUGAAGUUGGAAUCGCUAGUAACCGUGAAUCAGCACGUCACGGUGAAUACGUUCUCGGGCCUU